GCAGCCCUCCCCUGUUUUAAAAUUUCUUCUUUCCAUUUUCUCUGAGUUUCAGACCCUAGUGCGGCCGACUCCGGCAUGUUGCCAUCACAGCGCCGCCGUGGCUCCGCCGUGGACGGUGGUUGGGGCCACGCAAAAUCUACCCUUUUUUAACCGUUUUAAAAAAAUCUUUGAAGGUCAAGCCUCCUAGGCCUCAAUGGCUGAAAGAAAAACCCCUCUCGCCCUUACGUGGUCCAACUUCGGCGAUGGGGAAGAAGAUUCCGGCGACGGGACCCGCGGGGCGAACCUAGGUGCUUUUCUUUCCUCUUUCCUUUUUGUUUUAUUUUUGUACGCGUAAAAUAAGGUAAGAAACACACAAUAGCAGUAGACUAAAAAUGAAAGAAAAUAAAACAGAAAUAUAAACCUUAACUUUUUAUUGAUCUUUGAAUAAUCCCCCCCUCCGAUUACAGUGAUGAAGCCCCCCCUUACAAUGGUUUUUUGCUUGGCUUUUAUAGCCAUUUUACACUUUUUCUCUAUUAUUAUUUGCUGUCACUUCCUAUUUGAUUUUGCAGGUGCAGGUGGAAGAGCGGCGCUGAAGGAGCGGCGAGGGCAGAACAGUUGGUGGCUAGGGUAGGUUAGGGUUUCUGUCACUAGUUUAGGUUGUGGGCUAGGUUUAUUUUGGGCUGAAUUGGGUAAAAUUUUUUUAGACUUAUAGACUGUUAAUUGAUUUUGGUUUGGUUUAUUUGGUACGGGCCCGGGCAAAUUUGGGCUUCUACAUAUAGAAUAAGAAAAAUAAACUUGCUCCCACUGACCUGAUCAAUGGUGUGUUCCUUAAAAUCAAAGGAAGUUAAACUUAAUAUACACCAUGUAUUUAAACCCCCAUUAAGAAAGAUAGUUUUGUAUCCAUUGGGUACAACUCUAAAUUAUAAUGGUUUUGUAAUCAAUGUCUUCUUUUUAAUUGAAACCUUUGGUGGUAAGUCUAGCUUUAAAUCGUUCAGCAUUGUCUUUUGAGUCACGCUUACAAUAAUCUUCUUUUACAAUUUUUAAGCAAAUCAACUAGAUCCAAAACUUUAUUUUUAGUCAUCUUUCCAUUUUUUAAAAAUACUAUAAAAUCCUUUACCAAGGUUUUUUUUUACCAAUUUUUUCAAGGGAAAAGUGUUACUAGCUUUAUCUAGUCAAUUAAAUUUUAAGACAUAAAGAGUUUGAAAUAAAUCUAAAUGAUGUUCAAUAUCUAAAAUUACACUGUAAGUGUCAAUGUCGUUAAUUGAAACUUUAUUUCCAUCUCCCAUGUAAACAAAGCUAUCACUUUAUGGUUUGGGUUGUAACGGAUUUCGGCC
This 1313-nucleotide long non-coding RNA is filed under the name Gossypium raimondii (Peruvian cotton). RNAcentral describes it as "long non-coding RNA (GRAI_LNC009814)". The record is from RNAcentral. Lineage: Eukaryota; Viridiplantae; Streptophyta; Magnoliopsida; Malvales; Malvaceae.